RNAcentral lists this ribosomal RNA (409 nucleotides) under uncultured bacterium. RNAcentral's name for it is "partial 16S ribosomal RNA". It matches the Rfam family "Bacterial small subunit ribosomal RNA", at positions 355 to 755 of the family's 1533-position model. The record is from RNAcentral.
UGGGGAAUAUUGCACAAUGGGCGCAAGCCUGAUGCAGCCAUGCCGCGUGUGUGAAGAAGGCCUCGGGUUGUAAAGCACUUUCAGCGAGGAGGAAGGUGGUGAGCUUAAUACGCUCAUCAAUUGACGUUACUCGCAGAAGAAGCACCGGCUAACUCCGUGCCAGCAGCCGCGGUAAUACGGAGGGUGCAAGCGUUAAUCGGAAUUACUGGGCGUAAAGCGCACGCAGGCGGUUUGUUAAGUCAGAUGUGAAAUCCCCGGGCUCAACCUGGGAACUGCAUUUGAAACUGGCAAGCUAGAGUCUCGUAGAGGGGGGUAGAAUUUCCAGGUGUAGCGGUGAAAUGCGUAGAGAUCUGGAGGAAUACCGGUGGCGAAGGCGGCCCCCCUGGACGAAGACUGACGCUCAGGUGCG